Molecule: long non-coding RNA, 78 nt
Organism: Etheostoma cragini (Arkansas darter)
Lineage: Eukaryota; Metazoa; Chordata; Actinopteri; Perciformes; Percidae
Exons: 3
Source: RefSeq, a predicted model, not a curated record
UUUGAUUUACUAUGGAUAGUGGGCUGUACAAUUAACACACAUAGGUUAAUCACAAUGGAUUAUGUAUUAUUCCCCCCC